CUGUUGCUACAACCGCACAGAACAGGUAAAGCAUAAGUUGUAUUUUACAACACCUGUAUGGCGAGUCUGAGUUUUUGA
RNAcentral lists this small RNA (78 nucleotides) under Paraliobacillus sp. PM-2. The record is from RNAcentral. Lineage: Bacteria; Bacillati; Bacillota; Bacilli; Caryophanales; Bacillaceae.